RNAcentral lists this transfer RNA (74 nucleotides) under Bacillota bacterium. RNAcentral describes it as "tRNA-Val". It matches the Rfam family "tRNA". From Rfam's summary of the family: Transfer RNA (tRNA) molecules are approximately 80 nucleotides in length. Their secondary structure includes four short double-helical elements and three loops (D, anti-codon, and T loops). Lineage: Bacteria; Bacillati; Bacillota. The record is from RNAcentral.
GGGGAAUUAGCUCAGCUGGUCAGAGCGCUACGUUCACAUCGUAGAGGUCGUAGGUUCGAGCCCUAUAUUCCCCA